CAAAAACAUUGCUUUUUGAAAUAUCUAUAAAAAGUAUCUCCUGCCCAGUGACUUCUGUUCAACGGCCGCGGUAUCCUAACCGUGCAAAGGUAGCAUAAUCAUUUGCCUAUUAAUUGUGGGCUAGAAUGAAUGGAUAACCGAAAUAAACCCUGUCUCUACUAGCAACGUAAAAAUUAUCUUCUAAAUGAAGAGAUUUAGAUAAAAUUGUAGGACAAGAAGACCCUAUAGAGCUUCUACUAAAAUAUUAACUUUCCCUUAAUUUAUAGUUUGAUUGGGGCGAUCAAGGAAUUAAUUAAUCAUCCUAUCAUAUUAAGAAUAAUACUUCACUUAAAAGAUCCUCUAUAGAGAUCAUGAAAAAGCUACCUUAGGGAUAACAGGCUAAUCUUAUUAGAGAGUUCUUAUUAAUAAUAAGGGUUGGCACCUCGAUGUUGGCUUAGGGUAUUCUAAAUGGCGCAAAAGUCGUAAUAGAUGGUUUGUUCAACCAAUGACUCCCUACGUGAUCUGAGUUCAGACCGG
Molecule: ribosomal RNA, 516 nt
Filed under: Hyperiodrilus sp. Gh
Lineage: Eukaryota; Metazoa; Annelida; Clitellata; Crassiclitellata; Eudrilidae
Description: partial 16S ribosomal RNA
Rfam family: Bacterial large subunit ribosomal RNA
Source: RNAcentral